UUUCAAUAUGGUUUAAUAUCUCUUUUUAAGGAGCUCUGCAAAGAAACAGGUCAACGUUGGCCUGUCUAAUUAAUAUGUGAGGAGCCUCUCUUUUGAUUGGCCGACUGUUUUGAGUGACGCACGGCCAGGCCAACCAGCUCCUCUGUUCACCGCUCAGAGCGGCUCUGACCGUGUUGUCCCGGAGCGAGGAGCAGCACCAGUUACCGAUGAAUUCUGCAAAGGACAGAAAUAAAAAACAGCGGAUGCUGAAGCACGGGGCGCUGAGUGCAGAUCUGCCCGCGAGGCGAAGCAUCAUCAGGCUGUCAACAACACACUGUGACACCUGAACACACACACACACACACACACACACACACACACACACUCCUGUCUGAAUCAUAAUGGAGCCACUGUCACUGGAGGGCCGAGUAGCUCCAGUUACGCCCACGUCGUUCAGGAAACAGUUCUGUCCAUGACACACGCCUCACGUACAGUAAUCCUACGACAACAAAGAGGAGAGACGUGUAAACACCAGAGGAAGAGGAAGGAGGUCGUGACUCAGAGACACUGUGUUGCUUUUCUGGGAAGCACAAAGACGUGGACGUCCCCCUCCUCCCUCCUCCUCCUCCCUCCUCCCUCCUCCCUCCCACCUCCUCC
Long non-coding RNA from Scophthalmus maximus (turbot), 636 nucleotides. RefSeq lists it as uncharacterized. The record is from RefSeq and is a predicted model, not a curated record. NCBI's taxonomy places the organism in Eukaryota, Metazoa, Chordata, Actinopteri, Pleuronectiformes, Scophthalmidae. The transcript is spliced from 3 exons.